GGAAUUGAAAUCUGAAGACAUGGUGAUUUUUACCCAAUGGGUUAUGCCCUUGAGCACGAAGAUCUUUUGAACUCUGAGGUUCAGGACCACGCGUGCUUCUCACAUUUAUUGAGACAGAGAGUAUUAAUCAACAGCGGUUCAAGUUUCCACAAUGAGCUAUACAUCAUCUAAACUCACAUGGAUAUACCAGUGUUUUGUAGUGUGGGGAUAAUAAGGUGAAGUGAGGCUGCUGCUCACCGGUGGCUCGCCGGCCAUCCGAGAGCCGGAAUUGCGGCCCCACGCGAGGGAAAGAUCAGCGUUGCUGC
This is a long non-coding RNA of Triticum dicoccoides, 305 nucleotides long. RefSeq lists it as uncharacterized. Lineage: Eukaryota; Viridiplantae; Streptophyta; Magnoliopsida; Poales; Poaceae. The transcript is spliced from 3 exons. The record is from RefSeq and is a predicted model, not a curated record.